Molecule: long non-coding RNA, 320 nt
Filed under: Vigna radiata
Lineage: Eukaryota; Viridiplantae; Streptophyta; Magnoliopsida; Fabales; Fabaceae
Description: long non-coding RNA (VRAD_LNC004102)
Source: RNAcentral
UUAGAAGCUUCAAGUGGCAAGUGGGUAGAUGGUAGAUGGUAGAGAAGAAGACCUCAAUUAUGAGUAGUAGUGAGUGUGCAAAAGUUAUGAUGGAAAUUGAAAAUACAAUGGGAAUAGCUACAAGACAAUUCCAAGAUGAAGUGUGCUAGCCCUUCAGUUACUAUGUUACUAUAUAUCAUAAGUGUGACAUAUAUUAUCUAUCCCCGUGCUGUAGGGUACACCCCACUAGUACCAUCUCAGGAAAAACAAAACAAAUAUUACCUAUAUCAAAAUUAAUAAUACUGUAAAAUAGAAUUCGAACAUGAAACAUGUUGUUACCA